UCUAACUCUUUUACACUCAUUGACGUGUAUUGCCAGUGAAAUAGGACAGACAGUAAGCUUGACCUUGACCAGUGUCCCUAAGUAAAAAACCCGCGAAAUCGCCAGUGUUCUUACAAGCGUUGCAACAGGUGGAUGUUUUGGCGUUUUAACUGUAUUUUUAAUAGUACAAGGAAGUUGUGUAUUUAUUUGGAGCCUUCUGCAUAUUAAAAUGUAAGUACUCAUACAUAUUUCAUCCAUAGUAUAUGUGUAGAUUAUGUUUAUCCAACAGAAACACUAAUCAAAAUAGCAGCCUAACCUAUGCCGUAUCAUUCAUUCAAAAUUGUUUUGUCUGUUCCAAAUCUUUUUGUCUAUUAAAUGCGUUGCGUAAACUUCUGUAUCGGUUGACAAUGUUAUUAAGAUUUAUAACAGCUUGCUACAUAGAUGAAUCUUUAGUGAAAUCCUCAUUUAUCUAAAGAAAACUAGCAACAGGUAUAUUUGCGGCCCGAUUGUGGCCGCCGCACAGAUACUGGGCGGCCCGGAUCGGGCCGCAGAACAGACAGCAACUAGAGUUAGUAAAAUGGCCGACCAUGCAGUUUGCAUAGUAUGGAUACGCUGAGAGCAGCAUAUUCAAUACAUUAUUAAUUAUAUUUUUUUGAUCCGAUUUAUUUAACACUUAAUAACAAAUGUUUCUAAGUCGCUUUUUUAUAAUUUUACAUAAUUGUUUAAAAACAGCGGUUCUUAAAUUGAAUAACUAUAUUAAAAAUCUUAAUAGACAUAUUAUGAUUUUUAACGGACACUCAUUGUUUUUUCAUUGGUUUGGUUGUCACCCGCAUGGAAAUUUUUUGGCACUUUUAUGCUUAUGUGCACUAAACUAACUGCAUGCUAUAUUUUUGUGUGUGUUUUUUUAAUUUAAGGCCACGAGUCUCAAAAACUCGCGGCAGCAGAGGUGGUGGUCGUGGCCGUGGUCGCCAUACUAAUAAUGAUCGGGGCCCUCAAGAAGGUUUGGGCACUCGAGAAGAAGUAGAGACUCGGGGGAUUGUGCACGCUAGGGGCAGUACACGUACUAGGGGUGGUGUGCGGAGUAGGGGUGGUGUGCGCACUAGAGGCGGUGUACAGAGAAGGGGCGGUGUACGUACUAGGGGUGGCGCAAAUACAUCGCACCCGAUUUGUCUAGAAAGGUAAAUAUAAUAUUACUUAACACAAAUAGAGGUAAAUAACUAUUGCGUAGGUACUAUUACAGUCAAAAUUUAAAUCAGUAUUUAUUAAUUUAUGUUUCUCUAUUUUUAGCAUUUAUUGUGGCCCUCUUAAAGACUGGCCAAGUGGCUUGGCCAUCGAAGUUCCUUUACGGAAAAAGUAAGUAACUAUCUACAUUAUAUUUAAUUUAGAUGUUUUUUUUUCGUAUUUUAAAUAUUCUUUGUAUUUCAGAUUUUUUAGGAGGACGACACCGAGUCCCGAACCCGCACGUUCAAGAACUCCCAUACUAGUACAGCAUGAUGAAAUGUAAGCUUGUUUUAAAUCUACAAUAAAUGACUAGCAACAGGUAGAUCCUAUAAUCCAUAUAUUGUAUUCUUUAUCCCAUAGACUAUCUGCAGCUGAAACAUUAGCAGCGCUGAGUUCAGCCCCGCCAUCGCCUGGUUUAGACCAAGGAGCCAUAUCCCAUAUAUUAUCGGCAGCUGAAACAUUAGCAGCUCUGAGUUCAAAUCCGCCGUCGCCUCUUUUAGACAAAGAAGCCAGCUGGCCCUCGUUGCCCCGUGAUUUUGAAUUGUUUGAUACUGCAGUUGCAUCACGAGUCGUUUCACCUGCACUUUCAUUAGUUUCAAACGCACCUUCUCCAAUAGUAAAUAUUGAAGUCGACACGGUUCAGACAUCUGCCCUUAGAACAGUGCGCCUUCCCAAACGCAGAGAGGAAUCUCCUUCCUAUCAGUAAGUAUCACUUCAUAAUUAAAGAAUAAUAUACCCG
This is a long non-coding RNA of Cydia splendana, 1939 nucleotides long. RefSeq lists it as uncharacterized. The transcript has 3 exons. The record is from RefSeq and is a predicted model, not a curated record. NCBI's taxonomy places the organism in Eukaryota, Metazoa, Arthropoda, Insecta, Lepidoptera, Tortricidae.